Molecule: ribosomal RNA, 213 nt
Filed under: uncultured bacterium
Lineage: Bacteria
Description: partial 16S ribosomal RNA
Rfam family: Bacterial small subunit ribosomal RNA
Source: RNAcentral
UGAGUAACACGUGAAUAAUCUACCUCCCGAUGGGGAAUAACUGAGAGAAAUCUUAGCUAAUACCGCAUAACACUUACGAGUCAAAGCAGCAAUGCGCUUGGAGAGGAGUUCGCGGCCGAUUAGCUAGUUGGCGGGGCAAUGGCCCACCAAGGCAAUGAUCGGUAUCCGGCCUGAGAGGGCGCACGGACACACUGGAACUGAAACACGGUCCAG